Molecule: long non-coding RNA, 308 nt
Organism: Drosophila gunungcola (fruit fly)
Lineage: Eukaryota; Metazoa; Arthropoda; Insecta; Diptera; Drosophilidae
Exons: 3
Source: RefSeq, a predicted model, not a curated record
CAUCACCCAAAUGUUUUUCUCGUUGGCCGCUUGCUUUGACACCCUGUUUAUGUACGCCUCCUUUAAUAAAUUCAACAAGAAUGUGCACAAAGACGUGAUUAUAAUAGAUUCGAUAACUUCCAUCUUGGCUGGCUGUAUAAUCUUUGGAAUUUUGGCUACCUGGCUCAUGACACCAGUACCUCGGACAUUUUGCAGGUGGUUAGGGGUGGAGCUGGCAUUCAUUUCAUACCCGGAGGCGAUUGCCAAGUUCAAAUUAAAUCAUCAAAAGCACAUUUAGGUGUUCUCUUUAGUACUACACUGGCAUUGUA